Molecule: long non-coding RNA, 588 nt
Organism: Urocitellus parryii (Arctic ground squirrel)
Lineage: Eukaryota; Metazoa; Chordata; Mammalia; Rodentia; Sciuridae
Source: RefSeq, a predicted model, not a curated record
UCCACGGACCGCGCACCCCGGGAGGGACAGAUCCCCAGCCCCAACAUCCUCUGACCUCGCCCCUCUGGCUUCCUCCCGCGGUUCGCUGUAAGAAGGGCCGGCUGCUCCAGCGGGUUAACUCUCAGAAAACGUCUGUCUUUCCGACUCCCCAGCUGAACACUUUCGCCAGUCCUUCUGCAACCAACUAAUAAGACAUACACUAUGUACUUUCCGAGAGACCAUGAAGUUCUGAAGUGAACCAUGGAGACCGUGUCUAAUAUACUGAGAGUUGACAGUAUGUCAAAAAAUAUGAUAACAAAAUAAAGCACUAUUAGAGGAGUGACAGAAAAUGACCAAGACCAUAACAGAAACAAAGAAUCUACAGAGAACAUGCAGAAACCCUCACCAGAACUCUUCCCGGCCUGAUUACUUUUAAGUAUAAGGGACACAGCUGAAGGCCAUCUCCACCUACACUCUCUUAAAACAAUAGCAUUGUUUACCUACCUGUUUCCUGAGACAUGGAUGGUUUUGUAAGUUUGAACACCUGUUACCUGACACAAAGAAAACUCCAGUCGAUGGCCCAGCAACCACCCACAUGUGCAGUCUGAA